RNAcentral lists this ribosomal RNA (578 nucleotides) under uncultured prokaryote. Its description in RNAcentral is "bacterial SSU rRNA". It matches the Rfam family "Bacterial small subunit ribosomal RNA", at positions 338 to 916 of the family's 1533-position model. The record is from RNAcentral.
CCUACGGGAGGCAGCAGUAAGGAAUAUUGGUCAAUGGACGAAAGUCUGAACCAGCCAUGCCGCGUGAAGGAUGACGGCCCUCUGGGUUGUAAACUUCUUUUAUCUGGGACGAAAAAAGGUCAUUCUUGACCACUUGACGGUACCAGAGGAAUAAGCACCGGCUAACUCCGUGCCAGCAGCCGCGGUAAUACGGAGGGUGCAAGCGUUAUCCGGAUUCACUGGGUUUAAAGGGGGCGUAGGUGGGCAGGUAAGUCAGUGGUGAAAUCUCCGAGCUUAACUCGGAAACUGUCAUUGAUACUAUUUGUCUUGAAUUAUCUGGAGGUAAGCGGAAUAUGUCAUGUAGCGGUGAAAUGCUUAGAUAUGACAUAGAACACCCAUUGCGAAGGCAGCUUACUACGGAUAUAUUGACACUGAGGCUCGAAAGCGUGGGGAUCAAACAGGAUUAGAUACCCUGGUAGUCCACGCCCUAAACGAUGGAUACUCGACAUCAGCGAUACACUGUUGGUGUCUGAGCGAAAGCAUUAAGUAUCCCACCUGGGAAGUACGACCGCAAGGUUGAAACUCAAAGGAAUUGACGG